RNAcentral lists this long non-coding RNA (199 nucleotides) under Trifolium pratense (red clover). RNAcentral's name for it is "long non-coding RNA (TPRA_LNC007942)". Lineage: Eukaryota; Viridiplantae; Streptophyta; Magnoliopsida; Fabales; Fabaceae. The record is from RNAcentral.
AAAUUUCAGUAUUUACCUGAUGAUUGUUGGGAACUUAUAUUCAAAAACAUGCGCAUUGAUGAUGAAGACUACCACUCUCUCUCCCUCGUCUCCAAACAGUUUCUCUCCAUCACAAACCGUCUCCGGUUCUCUCUCACUAUCAAAGACUGUCAAACAAUCCAAGAAGCACUCAACCUCGUCCGAAGAUUCCCCAACCUCA